CACGUAGGCACCAAGCGUUGUCCGGAUUUAUUGGGCGUAAAGAGCUCGUAGGCGGUUCAGUAAGUCGGGUGUGAAAACUCAGGGCUCAACCCUGAGAGGCCACCCGAUACUGCUGUGACUCGAGUACGGUAGGGGAGCGGGGAAUUCCUGGUGUAGCGGUGAAAUGCGCAGAUAUCAGGAGGAACACCAGUGGCGAAGGCGCCGCUCUGGGCCGUAACUGACGCUGAGGAGCGAAAGCAUGGGUAGCAAA
RNAcentral lists this ribosomal RNA (250 nucleotides) under uncultured Ilumatobacter sp. Its description in RNAcentral is "partial 16S ribosomal RNA". It matches the Rfam family "Bacterial small subunit ribosomal RNA", at positions 524 to 772 of the family's 1533-position model. The record is from RNAcentral. Lineage: Bacteria; Bacillati; Actinomycetota; Acidimicrobiia; Acidimicrobiales; Ilumatobacteraceae.